This is a non-coding RNA of Zonotrichia albicollis (white-throated sparrow), 7252 nucleotides long. NCBI's taxonomy places the organism in Eukaryota, Metazoa, Chordata, Aves, Passeriformes, Passerellidae. The record is from RefSeq and is a predicted model, not a curated record.
GGGUUCCGCGCCGGUCCCGCCCUACGCACGGCGGCCCGACCGGCUCCAUAUGAGGUGGCUCCUGGGGAAGCGGCUCCUGGGGAAGCGAGCGAUCUCCACGCCGCGGGCGGGCCGGAGGCCUCGCCGGCAGGGGCCGCCAGUCCCUCCGAGAACUCUUCUGGGAGCGAUCGAGUGUACCGCUAGAGCGCCCGCCCGCAGCGCCGCUCCGGCCGGUGGCGCGCGCCCCUCUUGGUGGGCGGGCCCGCGCCCCCGGGUGCGCGCGGUAAGGCUGGGCAGGCGCCGCCAUGAUGAACAGCGGCGGUAUCGGGGUCCCGUUGGGCUUCCCCCUGGGCCCUACGUCCGUCAUCCAGGUCACCAACCUCUCCUCGGCCGUGACCAGCGAGCAGAUGCGGACGCUCUUCGGCUUCCUGGGAGAUAUCGAGGAGCUGCGUCUUUAUCCCCCGGACAACGCACCUCUUGCUUUUUCCUCCAAAGUAUGUUAUAUAAAGUUUCGUGAAGCAUCAAGUGUUGGUGUGGCCCAGCAUCUAACUAACACGGUUUUUAUUGACAGAGCUUUGAUAGUUGUGCCCUGCGCAGAAGGUAAAAUCCCAGAUGAAGCCAAAGCCCUGUCUCUGUUGGCGCCUGCUCCUACUAUGACAAGUCUGAUGCCCGGUGCAGGGUUGCUUCCUAUACCUACACCAACUCCCUUGACUACACUUGGUGUUUCACUUGGUACUUUAGGGGCUAUACCAGCAGCAGCAUUGGAUCCUAACAUUACGGCACUGGGAGAAAUACCACAACCACCAAUUAUGGGAAAUGUGGAUCCAUCCAAAAUUGAUGAAAUCAGGAGAACAGUCUAUGUUGGAAACUUGAAUUCUCAGACUACCACAGCAGAUCAGCUGCUUGAAUUCUUUAAGCAAGUUGGAGAAGUCAAAUUUGUGCGAAUGGCAGGUGAUGAGACACAACCAACACGAUUUGCUUUCGUGGAAUUUGCAGACCAAAAUUCUGUACCUCGAGCUCUUGCCUUUAAUGGAGUUAUGUUUGGGGAUCGGCCACUGAAGAUAAAUCACUCCAAUAAUGCAAUAGUGAAGCCUCCUGAAAUGACACCACAAGCUGCUGCCAAGGAGCUAGAAGAAGUGAUGAAGAGAGUAAGGGAAGCUCAGUCUUUUAUAUCUGCUGCUAUUGAGCCAGAGUCUGGAAAGAGCAGUGAAAGAAAAGGCGGUCGAUCUCGUUCCCAUUCUCGUUCAGAAUCCAGGUCUAGCUCAAAAUCCCGAUCUAGAAGGAAAAGAUCACACUCAAAACACAGUAGAUCUGGCAAUAGAUCUCUCUCAAGACACAAGGACAGACGCAGAUCCCGAAGUCCUCUGAAAAAACGGUCUAGAUCUACAGAAAGAAGGAAAUCAAGAAGUCGCUCUCAUUCUCGGGACAAGAAAAGAGACAAAGAAAAGAUCAAAGAAAAAGAAAAGGCCAAAGAAAAAGAGAAAGACAGAGACCGAGACAAGGAGAAGGAUAGGGAUCGAGACAAAGACAGGGACAGAGAGCGAGAUAAAGAGAGAAAUAGAGAGAAGGACAAGGAGAGAGAUAAAGAGCGAAGCAAAGAUAGAGAAAGAGCCCGAGACAAAGACAGAGACAGGGACAAGGAUAAAGGUAGGGACAAGGAAAAGGAAAAAGAUAAAGAUAAGGAAAAAGACAAGGAAGAGGUAGAUCAUAACAAAGAAAAAGAAGAUACUGAGAAAGAAGGAGAGAAGGACAGAGAGAAGAUUAAGGACAAGGAGGGAGAUAAGGACAAAGGAGGGGACAAAGAAAAGGACAGAGACAAAGAAAAAGAAAAAGAUGGGGAUAAGGAGAAGGAGCGAGAAAAAGAGAGAGAUGAUAAAAAGAAGAAAGAUAAGAGAUCCAGAACACCCCCGAGAAGCUAUAGCUCUUCAAGAAGAUCUCGUAGCUCCAGCAGAGAAAGGCGUAAGAGGAAGAGCAGAAGUCCCUCCAAAUCUCCUAAAACAUCAAAAACAGCAAAAAGAAAGUCUUCACGAACUCCUUCUCCAAGAAGGUCAGUUUGAUGUAGACACAGAAGUUAAUGAUUAGUAAAGAUGGAAGAAUUGGUAGCAAUUUCAUUGUUUUACUGCCUCUGCACUAAUGAUUUCAGAUUAUUUCAGUUGGUCAGUAUGAUUCAGUUUUAAUUUAAAACUAAGUCAAAAUUUUAACCAAUUUGAGCUCUUGUGUUCUUUCAGUGGCAUAAUUUCAAAUCAAUCAGCAUUGCAGAUUUCUUCAAAUCAAUAAAAUUUCUUUCAGCUGGUACAGAUUAAAUUGCUUUUUGCUUUGCAGAUACGGUGUGUGGUGGUCAUAUCAAAUGUUUAGCUCUCUUCAGCCAAAAAAAAUGCCGUAUUCUUUGCAAAGGGAUUUUUGGUUAAAUUUUGGGAGGUUUUUUGAAAGUCCGUGCUGGGUGUUUAGUUUGCAGUCAAAUGGUUUUUCUUGUAGUUGGAUCAAAUCCUAAUUUGAAUAAAAAAUUUCUGAAACAGAAAUAAGAAAGAAAAAAAAAGAGAAAGAGAUACAAAUAAUGAAAGAAGAGAAAGAGAACGCUCUACUUCUAAGAAAAAAAGUAGUAAAGAAAAAGAGGGAAAGGAGAAGUCUGACAAAAGCACCACUACUUUGAAGGACAAAGAUAACAAUAACGAAGAUCAGAAUUCAGAAACUGACAAGGAAGUAGACAACAGAGAUACACAAAGGACAGAUGAAGUCAAGCUACAACAGAACGGAAAUUGUCAACCAAACGAAGAAAAUCUCUCAAUUAAAAUGGAAGAGGUUUAAAGCAAAGAAUGGACUUCUAAUUCAACUAAGGAAUGAAAUCCAAAGCAUUUUAUUUCCCAGAACGAGGAAGAAAAUGUCAAAGCAAUCAAACUGAACGUGUUGAUAGUACUAGUAGCUCCUCCAGUUCAUGUGAUAACUUUGUUGUCUUCUUGCUGUAAAGCAACAGGGCACCCGACCAGUAGUUAAUACCAUGAAAAGGCAGAUGCCAUCAGAACUAUUCAUCUCUGAAAAUCCAUGCAUUUCCAUGAUGGCUGUACUUGUAAAAUGAUUUAUGUUAAGUUUUACUAUAAGCUGUUACAAAUAACUAGAAACUGAAAGAUGUAAACCUGUACUUCCCAAAAAAAGCUGAAGAUAUGCAUUGAAGGUUGUUUAAAAUACUGCUUGUUGAUGACUUUUGUAUUGUUUUGCCCUGUAGGUUAAAAAAUCCACAAAAACUUCAAUGUGUGCUGUUUGAUGUGCUUGAAAAUAGUGCAUAAAUAUACGCACUUCCUUUCCUUGUAAAUGACAACUGUAGGGAAAGGGGGUUUAAGCAUAAACAUGGUUUUACUGUUCUUAUGUUAAAUACUCACAGAUUAGUAUGUUUUUUAUUUGCUCACUGCUUGAGAUUCUUAGGGUUUAUUAUUUGAAGUAAUUUCUUACUAAUAUCCCUGAAAUUAAUAUUUCUUUAAAGUAUUUGAGCAAUGCAUGUGCUUUUUCUGUUCCUAGAAGGAACAUUGCCAUGUUAUAGAUAUUAGGUUAGCUUACAGGGUUAUUUUGGGGUUGUUUUGUUGUUUUCUUUGUCCGUAGAGAAGUGAGCACAUCUCUAUGAUUAUACCAGAACUUAUAGCUUUGUUUUGCAAUGUACUGCAGUGUGUCUGUUCAGCUGAAAAUAGUACAGGUGCCAUUAAGAAAAUAAAUUUUUCCUUUUUGUUGAUAAAAUAUGGGAGCACAAGCAGAAGCUUUAGUGCCUUCUUAAAAUGUGGUAUUUUCUAGAAAUGUAUAUGUGCUGUUACACAUUUUUAGCUAAAUCUUAUAUGAUCUCUCUUGCUACUUUGCCACCACCAUACUGUAGACGAAAAUGCAAGUGACUUGCCAGAAUGGUUGUUUGAUUCACUUGUUAAAAUAGUGAAGCUCCAUUUUACUUUUAUUUUUUAUUCUUAGAAGAGAUUUAUAAAUAAGAGAAAAGAUGUAAUUUGGGGACCACCACUGUACAAAAGCAGUAGCUGAAUACAGAGUGUGCUCUGAUCACCUGCAUCAAAGAAAGCUCUUAAGACAUAUAACAUACAUUUGGAUGGCCUUAAUUGUUACCUCUCUGUUAUUUUUGCUGAUACCUGUUGGGCAAUGUAAAAGGAAUGUCAUGCUAAGAAAUGGGGGAUAAAUACUUUGAGGAAGAAGGUUCUAAUUUCACAGGGCUUAUAUAGGAGAUAUUCUUUUAUCAUUUUUUGUGGAGAAAGCAUGCAAGAAAAGAAUCACAAAACAAGUGGUUUUCUCUUGGCAAAACAUAGCUUUUGUUCUUUGAAGUAAUUUAAUUGGUUAUAUGAGAUUUCUGAUAAGUUACACUCUUAAGAUGUAAUUAUAGCUAAAAUUGCAUAGAUUAUUUUUAGUACAACUUAAUGCAAUCAAAUUAUUAAUUGCCUUACCUCAUAGGAAGUGUUAUUUCUUUCAGUUAAAAUAAAAAACUAAGUGUAUCGGCUAUUUGCUUUCUACUUGUUUUACUUUUCCUCCGCAUAGUUAGUUUUUGCAGUGGAAGGGAAGCAUAUUAUAGGAAUGAAAACUUUGCCCAACUCCUAAGGUAAUGAAAUCCAGUUUGAUUGUGAAGCUGCUUAAUCACUCAUUUUCUAUAAGAUUUAAUGUUCUUGCCACUGUGUACAUUUAAGACAACAGAAAAUGCUUUACCAUGUAAAGUAUAGAACAGCCAUUUUUGUGAUGUUUAAGCCACAUGCUGUUGGCUGGUAAACAGCUAAUUCUGAUAAAAGAAUAAAAAAUUGUAUGCUUACAGGAAGACUGUGAAAGAUUGUGUCUUGCAACAACAGCUGUCUUAUUUAUGAUGUGUAAGUAGCAUAGAGCAAAGAGAUUGUUUGUAUACUUGUUAUCUUUGGUACCAUUUCACUAAUAAAGUAAGUAUUUUAGAGGGAUGUUUCUGCUGGUACAUAUUUAUUAAAGGAUUAUUUUUAGACCAUUGGGAUUUACUCAUAGACCUUCUUUCAUUUUAAAUGUGGAUAUUAGUGAAAACAUAUGUGUAUUAUUUAUGUUUUCUUUGAAAAGCUAAAUUUGUCUGUUGGGAAGAACUAUAAUUCUUUAAGUGUAUCAUGUUUUAGCUGGUAUUAGUUUGGUUUCUUGAGUUUUUUUAUCCUGAAAUAGCAUAAUUCUAUGAUGUAUCAGUUAUAAAACAUGUAAAGGAAUGUGUACACUUAGCUAAGAAACAUGCCUUUGGAAGUUAAUAGUUAUGGAUGGCAGCCUUAACUUACUAAGUAGCUUUUCACCUGUGUGAGGCUAUAUGCAGCACAUUAUUUGUAUAUUAAUUAUGGUUCCCUUACAAAAGGUAUCUUGGGGUUUUUAAGGUUUUUGUUCAGGUGGCUUUGUUGGUUGGUUUUUUUGCUGAGGAAAAAAAGUAAACCAGAGCAACCAGCCACCAAACACACAUUUCUCCCCCUCCUCAAGUCAUAUUUUUUUGCAAAUACUUUGCAAGACACUUUUUAUUUUCUGGUUUUGUUUUGUAAAUACUUUGCAUAUCUAUGAGGUAGUUAAUCUAUCCAUGAUCUGUCCAUCUUAGCAGGUGUUCCUAAAAAGCCACCCCUUGAGAACUAUUAGUCUAUAAAAUGCUUAUCUCUGUGGAGGGUAGCUCACUUACAAACUGGUAACAUAGCACAGUAAUAAAGUUUCAGCCUGCUGCUGCAGGACUGAGAGCAUCAUCCACUGAAUGUGUUCAUCUUCCAUGGGAAGUCCAUUGCAUUCAUCAUUUUAACAAGCUUGUGUGCUCAGCUGCUGUGUCAGAUCAUCUGGUUUUGCACUUUGUAAAUGGGAUUAACUUGGGUAGAGGUUUUGAGAAGUGUGGUUCAUGGUAGCUGUAUUGUUUUUUACAGGUAGUUUAAUCUGAAUCAGCACUUACUUGAAAAUGUAAAUUGCUCAGAAGAGUGAGUAAUUGUAUAUUGCCAUUUUGCUAAGAUCACAUAAAGCACAUAAGCAUAAAUAUUCAUUAGUGCCCAUAGCUAUUUUCCAAGAGGGUUCUGCAUUGCAUUCUGAAAAAAGGUAGCAGAAGAGAAUUUGGUGGAUCAAACAGGAUGUCAAGCUCAAAAUAGAGGUGGCUUGUGGUUUAGAUGAUUUCAUCAAAGUCAAUGGAUUUAGAGGUAUGAGGCAUAGAAUUUUGUUUACAAACUCCAAUAGUAGUAUGGUAUGUAAAGGAUUUUUAGUUUUCAUAUGUUGAAAUUGGGGAUAAGGGAUUAUAAAAGCACUUGGUUAGAAGCUAGAAGUAUCUGAAGAAUACUUGGGAAAUACGUGAGAUGUGGGUUUUGACUAUUAGAUAAUCACCUGCUAAUUUUUUUAUGGGAGUUUCAGAUAGAUACAUCUGAACUAGCCUUAUGUUAGCUGGCUGACAGCAGCCUAUGUCCAGCUUGAAUUCUGAAAUGAGCUGUGGACACUUCAGUGCUGUUUGCUCCUAGAGGAAGUUAAAUUCAUAGUCUGUAGCAUGCUUUGCAUUGCGUAUUAGUGUUUAAAGCAAUAACCUGAAAUUAUGUUGAAACUCUUCAGAUGUGUUACAUAGUAGCUUCUCUCUUUUGCUCUUAGCUUGUACUGCUAUCUUGUAAUAGUUACUAAUUUACGGAAGUAAGUAAGUUUUAUUGUUGUUCUAAGGUAAAGAUAAUAAGUCCUGCUAUGUGCAUUAUAAAUUAUUGUAUAUGUAUUGCCAGUUCUUACUUUUCAUUGGUGAGUGUGACCCUUGCAAACAGUAAUGCUAUAAUGGUAUGUAUAUUGCCUACUUCUAGGUCUAAAGCAUCUCUGAAUCGCUUUUAGUGAAAGAAUAUCAGAGUUCAUGUAUUGUUAGAGGGAUAAAAGAAAUCCAGACACAAUAACCUUGGAUUUUGUAAAUGUCAGUGUGAUAAUAGCAUUGUAGUGGUAAAAUAGUCUUAAAGAUGUGAAUUCUGAAUCAUUGUCGGGACAUAUGCUGCUUGGUAAUUUCCAUUUUAUAGCAAUCAAAUGUCACUUUUGAUGUUACCUUAAUUUUGAAAGUGAAAAUUUGACUUAGCGUCAAAUGCUGAAAUUUAUAAAUGGCUAAAAUCAUGUCAAUCAGUAGACAGUUCAGAGAGAUGUAGUUUUCUCAGCAGAGACUGGAGUGUGGAGAAUUGAAUAUAUGUAAAUAUCAUUAAGUGCUAGAGCCUAAAGAGAAUCUGAAAUUUAAUUUUGUUUGCUAAUAGAUAAACAAGUUUUCUGUUUGUAGUUUAGCUUUAUUUUUAUAUGUUGAAAAGUAUAAUUAAAAUUAUAUUGAAAACUAAAA